AACCAAUGGCCCCCUGAACGCGCAUUGCACUCUUGGGACUUCCUGAGAGUAUGUUUGCUUCAGUGCUU
This 68-nucleotide ribosomal RNA is filed under the name Symbiodinium sp. type D1a. RNAcentral's name for it is "partial 5.8S ribosomal RNA". The record is from RNAcentral. Lineage: Eukaryota; Dinophyceae; Suessiales; Symbiodiniaceae. RNAcentral also lists the same sequence under 2 other names.